RNAcentral lists this ribosomal RNA (252 nucleotides) under uncultured bacterium. Its description in RNAcentral is "partial 16S ribosomal RNA". It matches the Rfam family "Bacterial small subunit ribosomal RNA", at positions 524 to 776 of the family's 1533-position model. The record is from RNAcentral.
UACGGAGGAUGCGAGCGUUAUCCGGAUUUAUUGGGUUUAAAGGGUGCGUAGGCGGGAUGCCAAGUCAGCGGUAAAAAUGCGGUGCGCAACGCCGUCGAGCCGUUGAAACUGGCGUUCUUGAGUGGGCGAGAAGUAUGCGGAAUGCGUGGUGUAGCGGUGAAAUGCAUAGAUAUCACGCAGAACUCCGAUUGCGAAGGCAGCAUACCGGCGCCCUACUGACGCUGAGGCACGAAAGCGUGGGUAUCGAACAGG